Molecule: ribosomal RNA, 1178 nt
Filed under: Salmonella enterica subsp. enterica serovar Holcomb
Lineage: Bacteria; Pseudomonadati; Pseudomonadota; Gammaproteobacteria; Enterobacterales; Enterobacteriaceae
Description: bacterial LSU rRNA
Rfam family: Bacterial large subunit ribosomal RNA
Source: RNAcentral
GGGUUGUGAGGUUAAGCGACUAAGCGUACACGGUGGAUGCCCUGGCAGUCAGAGGCGAUGAAGGGCGUGCUAAUCUGCGAUAAGCGCCGGUAAGGUGAUAUGAACCGUUAUAACCGGCGAUACCCGAAUGGGGAAACCCAGUGUGACUCGUCACACUAUCAUUAACUGAAUCCAUAGGUUAAUGAGGCGAACCGGGGGAACUGAAACAUCUAAGUACCCCGAGGAAAAGAAAUCAACCGAGAUUCCCCCAGUAGCGGCGAGCGAACGGGGAGGAGCCCAGAGCCUGAAUCAGCAUGUGUGUUAGUGGAAGCGUCUGGAAAGGCGCGCGAUACAGGGUGACAGCCCCGUACACAAAAGCGCAUGUGCUGUGAGCUCGAUGAGUAGGGCGGGACACGUGGUAUCCUGUCUGAAUAUGGGGGGACCAUCCUCCAAGGCUAAAUACUCCUGACUGACCGAUAGUGAACCAGUACCGUGAGGGAAAGGCGAAAAGAACCCCGGCGAGGGGAGUGAAAAAGAACCUGAAACCGUGUACGUACAAGCAGUGGGAGCACCCUUUUGGGUGUGACUGCGUACCUUUUGUAUAAUGGGUCAGCGACUUAUAUUCUGUAGCAAGGUUAACCGAAUAGGGGAGCCGGAGGGAAACCGAGUCUUAAUUGGGCGUUAAGUUGCAGGGUAUAGACCCGAAACCCGGUGAUCUAGCCAUGGGCAGGUUGAAGGUUGGGUAACACUAACUGGAGGACCGAACCGACUAAUGUUGAAAAAUUAGCGGAUGACCUGUGGCUGGGGGUGAAAGGCCAAUCAAACCGGGAGAUAGCUGGUUCUCCCCGAAAGCUAUUUAGGUAGCGCCUCGUGAAUUCAUCUCCGGGGGUAGAGCACUGUUUCGGCUAGGGGGCCAUCCCGGCUUACCAACCCGAUGCAAACUGCGAAUACCGGAGAAUGUUAUCACGGGAGACACACGGCGGGUGCUAACGUCCGUCGUGAAGAGGGAAACAACCCAGACCGCCAGCUAAGGUCCCAAAGUCAUGGUUAAGUGGGAAACGAUGUGGGAAGGCCCAGACAGCCAGGAUGUUGGCUUAGAAGCAGCCAUCAUUUAAAGAAAGCGUAAUAGCUCACUGGUCGAGUCGGCCUGCGCGGAAGAUGUAACGGGGCUAAACCAUGCACCGAAGCUGCGGCAGCGA